GUUCCCGUCACAGCCUCCUCUCCUCUUGCCCUCAGGGUCUCAAAGGCGGUCGCGCUUCCCUCCCGAGGUCCCGAGCUCCUGUGCAUCACCCGUCCUUCCCCUACGCCCCACUCUUAGCUUGGUCAUUAGUUUCUUUGGAAAUAGAGCUUCCCUGAAUUGCCCUAAUUUGGGUGAGCCAGAUUCGAAGACAGAAGAGUCCUGGGGAAAAAUGAACAAGCAAAUUUAAAAGGCACAUGAUAUCCACAAAGGAAUCCAGUCCUUUUUAAGAUCCUGUCAUAGGAGGCCAAGGGUGAGGAGGUCUCCUGCUAUCGGUGGGCCAGCGUGCCAACCGCUGAACCAGACGCUCACAGCCGGGCUCUCCCAACAUCAAGACAAGCCCACACACUGGAAAUCGAGCUGAAGGUGGGGCCUUCAAUGUCAGCAAGCAUCGGAAUCACCUGGAGGGCCUGCUAGACCAGCACGAUGGGCCCUGCCCCAGAGCUGGGAUUACACUGAUCAGCCCGGAAGGCCAAUCGCCGGCCCUUGAACUGGUUCCCAGGUGCUGCUGACGCCGCCAGUCAUGGGACCACGCUUUAGAAAUCAUGGCUCCGUCGGCCCUUCCUCCUCCCCCACUUCCCCUUCGGCACUGGGCCAGUCCAGACUCUCACAACGUCCACACGAAUGACUGCCCGACCUUCCGAAACAUCUGGUAACAAGCAGAGUUGUUCCUUCAAAACCCGUCUCCCACCAACAGUUGUGUUUUCCUGUGGGAUAGCACUUAGCAUGUGCGAGGAAGCAGACCGGCCGGCUGGCCGUAAGCACCAGCAAGGCGCGCUCCGGACAAACCCCACGGGAUUACCGCGCAUUUCUGCGUCACUGGUGGAAGACGGUUGUGUUAUUUUCGGAGUCAACCAAUCUCUUAUAAACAUGGCUUAAAUAUUCAAUCCUCCAAACAUCAGAUAUGGAUUUAGAAUUAUUUCCACAAAUGGCUGAGAUCAAGCAUCGGAUCUGUGGAGGCUAAUGGUCCUGUGAGAAGUCAUCCGAGAAGAGCCAGGGGCCAGGGACCAAUGGUGUGGGGGGAGCAGGCAACGCGUCGAGGGACGUGGGUGAUCAGGUUGUCUGGUGUCCUGCCCAGAGAAGGACAUAAAGUAAAUUUUAUUUCCUUCAGAAAAUAAUCUAUACUCUUUUUUUUUUUAAGAGAUAGGCUAAAGAAAAACUUAGAAGUUGAGGACAAGUAGGGGCACCUGGGUGUCUCAGCGGGUUAAGCAUCCAGCAUUUCAGCUCAGGUCACUGUCUCAGGGUCGUGAGAUCGAGCCUUCUUAUGUCAGGCUCUGCGCUCAGUGGGGAGUCUGCUUGGGAUUCUGUCUCUCCCUCUGCCCCUCCUGCUCGUGCUCUCUCUCUCUCUCUCUCUAAAACAAAUAAAUCUUCAAAAAAACUAAGGACAAAUAGCUCCAUCUCAUGUAAAUGAUGAGAUACGGGGAGAUUAUGGUCAGAAUCAUUUUUGUAAAAUGUGCUUUUGGUCAGGGGAUGGUGUGGGUCGGUACCCUGGAUGGUGAUGCUGGGAAGGAAGGAGAGAAGGAGCCCUGAGGAAGGGGGACUGAAUGGGGGGCUGUGAGAGGAGCUCUGUGCUGGUCCAGGGCGGGGGAGAGACAUGGGGUAGGCUUUGGGUGGCCACCAAUGUCUACAAUUUUGUUCUCUAGCCAAGGAGGAGUCCAGAUCUCUGACAAACUGACAGAAAGUAUCUUAGUCUUUAUGGACCCAAAUCAGUAGGAGCUGGGAUAAGAAGACCACAGAACAAAAUCUCGGGCGGGGCUGGAGAAGACCUGGAGCAUGGGGAGGUCCUUGUCACCUCUUCCAGCAGAGAGGAGCGGAGGACACUUGUCAUUUACCAAAAGUCCUUCCGGGGGCGCCAGGCUGCCCGCACAUCUGAGAUGUUAUGUAAAUAGAUGUUGGUAGGAGCAGUGAGGUAAGCUAAAACAGGAGCCGAGAAGGGGAAGAAUACAUCCCCCCUCUCCGACCCCAUCCCAGGCUUGACGUCACCAUCUCCAGCGACAAGAAAGGUUCCUCCCAUCCCCCCACAGGGAGCUCAACUGAGCCGUGAUCUCUCCACCAGUGCCUUCCCCUUCAGGGCUCCGACAGAAGAGACCUCCCCUCUGAACAGAAGCACUGAAGCUGGGAAUUCUCCCUGGGAUCCAGGCAAGAACUGCGGUAACAUGCGUCGAGAUGGUGCUAAGACUCUGCUAGGCAUUCCAUUCAUCCG
This is a long non-coding RNA of Mustela putorius furo (domestic ferret), 2239 nucleotides long. The record is from Ensembl. Lineage: Eukaryota; Metazoa; Chordata; Mammalia; Carnivora; Mustelidae.